Papaver somniferum (opium poppy) is the source of this 2507-nucleotide long non-coding RNA. RefSeq lists it as uncharacterized. The transcript is spliced from 7 exons. The record is from RefSeq and is a predicted model, not a curated record. Lineage: Eukaryota; Viridiplantae; Streptophyta; Magnoliopsida; Ranunculales; Papaveraceae.
UCCAAACACGACCUAAAAGACUCCCUCACGACCUCACGACUAACUGUAAAAAACACAACUACACCCAACUCCCCGAACUCCCUUGAGGUUAAUCCAAUUUCUUCUCUCGGCAAGAUGAAUCGAGAAGAUCAAAAGAAACCCAAUGUUUCCGCAGAAAUCGAAAACUCUACCUCAAAAAUCAAAACCCAUGUAUCAGAAAUCAAUGGCAAACAUUGUAACCCAAGAUCUACUUGCUUUUCUCCUGAAAUCAUCAAGUAAGGUGUUCCCUUUUUUAUUUUUCCCUUCAAGAGAACUCCUCAAUCGGGUAGUAGAUCUCUUCUCCUCCUAAUUAUCUCAUGAGAAUAUUUACCAAUUUGCAAAAAAAGGGUUUAACCCACCGGAAAUUUUAUCAAUAAAAUACUGAGCAAAGAAAUGGGCAAGAGCCGGGAGUGGAUUUUUUAUGGUGGAGGAAUGGGUAAUUGCAAAUGGCUAAUGGUACUCUAGUUUGACGUGAAUGGGUAUCAUUUGGAUUUAGGAAAAUAGGCAACCUGGGUGAGAUCUUCGCUCCCAAAUUCCUGCUCAAGUUUAGCCCUGAAGAUGUUCUUCGGCAAGUAACAUAACUCUUUUGAAAAUUUGCUAGUAUUAAUAUGCAUAUACAGUAAUUUCUUCUUGCACGGUAUGUUUAUUAUGGGAAAUUAUUGAUAAUUUCUUGCACAUGUCCUGUAUUGAAAGUUCAAGCAUCAAGUAUUAUUGGUUAUACAAGUCUUUCCUUAUGGCUACUUGUAUCUACUAAUUAGAUCCCUUUGGUAGUUAUUAUGGAGUGAUUAGUCUCCACAUAAAGUUAAUGGGCGUUGUUCCUAAACUUCAGUGAUUUCCAACUAAACAUAUUUCAUCUUUUCACGAUUCUAGUAAUUUUUUAAGUCGUGACCGUUUAUAAGUUAUUUCUAAAGUUGAAAUGCUAUAUGUGGCAAGUCAUUGAAACUUUUUUGUUGACUUAUUUUAUUCGGGCCUGCAAUAGAUUGUAUACACUAAACUACUUGUGGUACAAAGGUUUCGUUACUUGAAAAAAGAAAACCGUAACUUUCAAAAAUUGAAGAUGACAUGAGAAAAUUUCAUUUCUCUUCUCUUCCAAGAGGAGAGUCCGUAUAGAAAAUAUUUUUGACAACUGGUUCUUUUAUCUUAAUUAACAUUAAUUUUUUUAUAUGGAAAGCAGGUAGUCUUUCGUUUUUACAUAUUUACUCUUGUUUGAUCAGAGAUGAAUUCAAAGUAAUUUCAUAUUAGUAACUGAUGAUAUCAUUGCCAAUGUCUGUAUUUCAACCUUUUUUUUUCCUUUUUUAGAGAAAGAAUAUUUAAUACUUUGAGUCUUAAAUCAUCAGUGUUUGCAAUAAGUUUUGAAUCAUCAAUUUUUUUUGAUAUCUCUACAUGUACAACACAACUAUUAUGGUUACUGGACACGUCGAGCUGUUUCUAACCAAGGGAUCUUUAAGUGGAAGCUGAGACUACAAAGAGAUUGAGUUACUGAAUUUCGAUCUCCUGGUAGGUUCUAGCGGAAUCAUACAGUUUGGAUGUGAAGACUAUGAAAUGAGAUACAGUAACAAGAUGCGCUUGGGUGUUUGUUUUAUUCUUGUCCUAACAAUUUCAAAUAUGUCGCCGAGGUAAUCUUUGUUGUCGAUGCCCUUGAAAGGUACACCCAGCUUUCCAGCCAUCCUGUUCACAACAUUAACAAACCUGGCAUUUUGUUCGUUGGUAUACAUCCAUCCAAGGAUGGCUCUCUUGCUCGUUGCACUCUCAUUCACCACGGACUUCUGGAGUGUAAUAAAGGAUUGGUUAUUGUUAUCAGGAAAGGCUUGAUGCUUGCUGAGAUAAUAAACUAUUUGGCACUAAUCUAGCUAACUCUUUGUUAAUCUUCACUGGAUUUAUGACUUGCUUUGUGCUUUCAGUUUUCUUAAAAUGCAAUAGCAAGCUCAUUGACCUAUCAGUUUCUGACUUAAAACCAAGUGCAGUAACUUCAUAUUUCAAGUGUUGCAGAUUCUUCUUCUUCAAAGACACCACCUGACAAGGACCGGGCUAUGGAGAAGCAUUCUGGUUAUGUGAAUCGUCAAUCAUGUUUCCUGGAAGGAGCAUUUGAAGACCCUUGUGAAGAUGAUGUGUUGCGCGAGAGAAAUAUGAGAGCCUUUGUCGAUUGAAGAGCAAACUAAGACAUUGACUAUGCUAGCAAUGUUGACAAUGAAGAUGCCACUGAAAUGUUCCAGCAAGCUAAUGUUGAACUAAAAAGGGAAGCACAAGCCAAGAGGAAUGUUGAACAAAAGAGGGCUCGUCCCAGUGGUGGUGGUAGUGGUCGUGGAAAGGCUAAACGGGUCCGUGGUGGUGGUAGUGAAUGAAGACAACUAGUUUAUUUUUUUAUGUGUUGGACAAAUGUUAAAGUUAAUGGUUGGACAAAUACUUUUUUAAGGAUUAUGGGACAGAUGUUUUCUGAUUUUGGACAAAUGUUGGAUUUCUAGUUGUUGAAUGAACGGUUUGUUUAGCGA